This 1192-nucleotide ribosomal RNA is filed under the name uncultured eukaryote. RNAcentral's name for it is "SSU rRNA". It matches the Rfam family "Eukaryotic small subunit ribosomal RNA", at positions 577 to 1799 of the family's 1831-position model. The record is from RNAcentral.
CGGUAAUUCCAGCUCCAAUAGCGUAUAUUAAAGUUGUUGAGGUUAAAAAGCUCGUAGUUGAACCUUGGGCUCGGCCCGUCGGUCCGCCUCACCGCGUGCACUGACUGGGUCGGGCCUUUUUUCCUGGAGAACCGCAUGCCCUUCACUGGGUGUGUCGGGGAACCAGGACUUUUACCGUGAACAAAUCAGAUCGCUCAAAGAAGGCCUAUGCUCGAAUGUACUAGCAUGGAAUAAUAGAAUAGGACGUGUGGUUCUAUUUUGUUGGUUUCUAGGACCGCCGUAAUGAUUAAUAGGGACAGUCGGGGGCAUCAGUAUUCAAUUGUCAGAGGUGAAAUUCUUGGAUUUAUUGAAGACUAACUACUGCGAAAGCAUUUGCCAAGGAUGUUCUCAUUAAUCAGGAACGAAAGUUAGGGGAUCGAAGACGAUCAGAUACCGUCGUAGUCUUAACCAUAAACUAUGCCGAUUAGGGAUCGGACGGUGUUAUUUUUUGACCCGUUCGGCACCUUACGAUAAAUCAAAAUGUUUGGGCUCCUGGGGGAGUAUGGUCGCAAGGCUGAAACUUAAAGAAAUUGACGGAAGGGCACCACCAGGGGUGGAGCCUGCGGCUUAAUUUGACUCAACACGGGGAAACUCACCAGGUCCAGACACGAUGAGGAUUGACAGAUUGAGAGCUCUUUCUUGAUUUCGUGGGUGGUGGUGCAUGGCCGUUCUUAGUUGGUGGAGUGAUUUGUCUGCUUAAUUGCAAUAACGAACGAGACUUUAACCUGCUAAAUAGCCCGUAUUGCUUUGGCAGUACGCUGGCUUCUUAGAGGGACUAUCGGCUCAAGCCGAUGGAAGUUUGAGGCAAUAACAGGUCUGUGAUGCCCUUAGAUGUACUGGGCCGCACGCGCGCUACACUGACACAGCCAGCGAGUACUCCCUUGGCCGGAAGGUCCGGGUAAUCUUGUUAAACUGUGUCGUGCUGGGGAUAGAGCAUUGCAAUUACUGCUCUUCAACGAGGAAUCCCUAGUAAGCGCAAGUCAUCAGCUUGCGUUGAUACGUCCCUGCCCUUUGUACACACCGCCCGUCGCUACUACCGAUUGAAUGGCUCAGUGAGGCUUCCGGACUGGCCCAGGGAGGUCGGCAACGACCACCCAGGGCCGGAAAGCUAUCCAAACUCGGUCAUUUAGAGGAAGUAAAAGUCGUAACAAGG